RNAcentral lists this ribosomal RNA (468 nucleotides) under uncultured bacterium. RNAcentral describes it as "partial 16S ribosomal RNA". It matches the Rfam family "Bacterial small subunit ribosomal RNA", at positions 28 to 507 of the family's 1533-position model. The record is from RNAcentral.
GACGAACGCUGGCGGCGUGCUUAACACAUGCAAGUCGAACGGAAAGGCCCUGCUUUUGUGGGGUGCUCGAGUGGCGAACGGGUGAGUAACACGUGAGUAACCUGCCCUUGACUUUGGGAUAACUUCAGGAAACUGGGGCUAAUACCGGAUAGGAGCUCCUGCUGCAUGGUGGGGGUUGGAAAGUUUCGGCGGUUGGGGCUGGACUCGCGGCUUAUCAGCUUGUUGGUGGGGGAGUGGCUUACCAAGGCUUUGAAGGGUAGCCCGCCUGAGAGGGUGACCGGCCACAUUGGGACUGAGAUACGGCGCAGACUCCUACGGGAGGCAGCAGUGGGGAAUAUUGCACAAUGGGCGGGAGCCUGAUGCAGCAACGCCGCGUGCGGGAUGACGGCCUUCGGGUUGUGAACCGCUUUCGCCUGUGACGAAGCGUGAGUGACGGUAAUGGGUAAAGAAGCACCGGCUAACUACGUG